Molecule: ribosomal RNA, 810 nt
Filed under: Virgibacillus dokdonensis
Lineage: Bacteria; Bacillati; Bacillota; Bacilli; Caryophanales; Bacillaceae
Description: bacterial SSU rRNA
Rfam family: Bacterial small subunit ribosomal RNA
Source: RNAcentral
GCAGAUCUCCUUCGGGAGUGACGCUUGUGGAACGAGCGGCGGACGGGUGAGUAACACGUGGGCAACCUACCUGUAAGACUGGGAUAACUCCGGGAAACCGGGGCUAAUACCGGAUGAAACAAAGCGUCGCAUGACGCAAUGUUAAAAGGCGGCAUAUGCUGUCACUUACAGAUGGGCCCGCGGCGCAUUAGCUAGUUGGUGAGGUAAAGGCUCACCAAGGCAACGAUGCGUAGCCGACCUGAGAGGGUGAUCGGCCACACUGGGACUGAGACACGGCCCAGACUCCUACGGGAGGCAGCAGUAGGGAAUCUUCCGCAAUGGACGAAAGUCUGACGGAGCAACGCCGCGUGAGUGAUGAAGGUUUUCGGAUCGUAAAACUCUGUUGUUAGGGAAGAACAAGUGCCAUUCGAAUAGGUUGGCACCUUGACGGUACCUAACCAGAAAGCCCCGGCUAACUACGUGCCAGCAGCCGCGGUAAUACGUAGGGGGCAAGCGUUGUCCGGAAUUAUUGGGCGUAAAGCGCGCGCAGGCGGUCCUUUAAGUCUGAUGUGAAAGCCCACGGCUUAACCGUGGAGGGCCAUUGGAAACUGGAGGACUUGAGUACAGAAGAGGAGAGUGGAAUUCCACGUGUAGCGGUGAAAUGCGUAGAGAUGUGGAGGAACACCAGUGGCGAAGGCGACUCUCUGGUCUGUAACUGACGCUGAGGUGCGAAAGCGUGGGUAGCGAACAGGAUUAGAUACCCUGGUAGUCCACGCCGUAAACGAUGAGUGCUAGGUGUUAGGGGGUUUCCGCCCCUUAGUGCUGAAGUAA